RNAcentral lists this ribosomal RNA (352 nucleotides) under uncultured bacterium. RNAcentral's name for it is "bacterial SSU rRNA". It matches the Rfam family "Bacterial small subunit ribosomal RNA", at positions 8 to 354 of the family's 1533-position model. The record is from RNAcentral.
AGAGUUUGAUCAUGGCUCAGGAUGAAUGCUGGCGGCGCGCCUAACACAUGCAAGUCGAAGGAGAAGGUAGCUGCUUGCAGUUACUGGAGACUGGCGGACGGGUGAGUAACGCGUAGAUAACCUGCCUAUAUCUGGGGGAUAACAUCUCGAAAGGGGUGCUAAUACCGCAUAAUGCAGCGGGGCCGCAUGGCUACAGUUGUUAAAGGUUUCGGCCGGAUAUAGAGGGGUCUGCGUACUAUUAGCUAGUUGGUGAGGUAACGGCUCACCAAGGCGACGAUCUCUAGCUGGUCUGAGAGGAUGACCAGCCACACUGGAACUGAGACACGGUCCAGACUCCUACGGGACGCAGCAG